RNAcentral lists this ribosomal RNA (497 nucleotides) under uncultured bacterium. RNAcentral's name for it is "partial 16S ribosomal RNA". It matches the Rfam family "Bacterial small subunit ribosomal RNA", at positions 28 to 507 of the family's 1533-position model. The record is from RNAcentral.
GAUGAACGCUGGCGGCGUGCCUAAUACAUGCAAGUCGAGCGAACAGAUGAGGAGCUUGCUCCUCUGACGUUAGCGGCGGACGGGUGAGUAACACGUGGAUAACCUACCUAUAAGACUGGGAUAACUACGGGAAACCGGAGCUAAUACCGGAUAAUAUAUUGAACCGCAUGGUUCAAUAGUGAAAGACGGUUUUGCUGUCACUUAUAGAUGGAUCCGCGCCGCAUUAGCUAGUUGGUAAGGUAACGGCUUACCAAGGCAACGAUGCGUAGCCGACCUGAGAGGGUCAUCCGCCAAACUGGAACGGAGACACGGUACACACUCCUACGGGGGGCAGCAGUAGGGAAUCUUACGCAAUGGGCGAAAGCGUGACGGAGCAACGCCGCGUGAGUGAUGAAGGUCUUCGGAUCGUAAAACUCUGUUAUUAGGGAAGAACAAAUGUGUAAGUAACUAUGCACGUCUUGACGGUACCUAAUCAGAAAGCCACGGCUAACUACGUG